Molecule: ribosomal RNA, 253 nt
Filed under: uncultured bacterium
Lineage: Bacteria
Description: partial 16S ribosomal RNA
Rfam family: Bacterial small subunit ribosomal RNA
Source: RNAcentral
UACGAAGGGGGCUAGCGUUGUUCGGAAUUAUUGGGCGUAAAGAGCUCGUAGGCGGUUUGUCGCGUCGGCUGUGAAAACCUGAGGCUCAACCUCGGGCCUGCAGUCGAUACGGGCAAACUAGAGUUCGGUAGGGGAGACUGGAAUUCCUGGUGUAGCGGUGGAAUGCGCAGAUAUCAGGAGGAACACCAAUGGCGAAGGCAGGUCUCUGGGCCGAAACUGACGCUGAGGAGCGAAAGCGUGGGGAGCGAACAGG